This 69-nucleotide transfer RNA is filed under the name Ictidomys tridecemlineatus (thirteen-lined ground squirrel). RNAcentral describes it as "Spermophilus tridecemlineatus (thirteen-lined ground squirrel) tRNA". It matches the Rfam family "tRNA". From Rfam's summary of the family: Transfer RNA (tRNA) molecules are approximately 80 nucleotides in length. Their secondary structure includes four short double-helical elements and three loops (D, anti-codon, and T loops). Further hydrogen bonds mediate the characteristic L-shaped molecular structure. tRNAs have two regions of fundamental functional importance: the anti-codon, which is responsible for specific mRNA codon recognition, and the 3' end, to which the tRNAs corresponding amino acid is attached (by aminoacyl-tRNA synthetases). tRNAs cope with the degeneracy of the genetic code in two manners: having more than one tRNA (with a specific anti-codon) for a particular amino acid; and 'wobble' base-pairing, i.e. permitting non-standard base-pairing at the 3rd anti-codon position. The record is from Rfam by way of RNAcentral. Lineage: Eukaryota; Metazoa; Chordata; Mammalia; Rodentia; Sciuridae.
GGGGUUGUAGCUCAGUGGUUGAGUGCUUGUCUUGCAUGCAUGAGACACUGGGUUCAAUCCUCAGCACCA